Molecule: unclassified non-coding RNA, 378 nt
Filed under: uncultured bacterium
Lineage: Bacteria
Description: contains 16S-23S intergenic spacer region
Source: RNAcentral
UCCGGUUUGUCACCGGCAGUUUCGCCAGAGUGCCCAACUUAAUGAUGGCAACUGGCAAUAAGGGUUGCGCUCGUUGCGGGACUUAACCCAACAUCUCACGACACGAGCUGACGACAGCCAUGCAGCACCUACGCAGCAGUCCCUUGCGGGAAAACGAUAUUUCUACCGCUGUCCACUGCGCUUCGAGCCCAGGUAAGGUUCUUCGCGUUGCAUCGAAUUAAGCCACAUACUCCACCGCUUGUGCAGGCCCCCGUCAAUUUCUUUGAGUUUUAAUCUUGCGACCGUACUUCCCAGGCGGCACGUUUAACGCGUUAGCUUCGCCACGAACGGGGUCGAAUCCGUUCACAGCAAACGUGCACCGUUUACGGCUAGGACUAC